CGGCGGACGGGUGAGUAACGCGUGGGUAACCUGCCUCAUACAGGGGGAUAACAGUUGGAAACGGCCGCUAAUACCGCAUAAGCGCACAGUACCGCAUGGUACGGUGUGAAAAACUCCGGUGGUAUGAGAUGGACCCGCGUCUGAUUAGGUAGUUGGUGGGGUAACGGCCUACCAAGCCGACGAUCAGUAGCCGACCUGAGAGGGUGACCGGCCACAUUGGGACUGAGACACGGCCCAA
RNAcentral lists this ribosomal RNA (238 nucleotides) under uncultured bacterium. RNAcentral describes it as "partial 16S ribosomal RNA". It matches the Rfam family "Bacterial small subunit ribosomal RNA", at positions 96 to 334 of the family's 1533-position model. The record is from RNAcentral.